Molecule: ribosomal RNA, 207 nt
Filed under: uncultured bacterium
Lineage: Bacteria
Description: partial 16S ribosomal RNA
Rfam family: Bacterial small subunit ribosomal RNA
Source: RNAcentral
CACGUAGGCGGUCUCGUAAGUCGGAUGUGAAAGCCCUCGGCUCAACCGAGGAAGUGCAUUCGAAACUGCGAGACUUGAGUACGGGAGAGGGUCGCGGAAUUCCCGGUGUAGAGGUGAAAUUCGUAGAUAUCGGGAGGAACACCAGUGGCGAAGGCGGCGGCCUGGACCGAUACUGACGCUGAGGUGCGAAAGCGUGGGGAGCAAACA